UACGUAGGGUGCAAGCGUUGUCCGGAAUUAUUGGGCGUAAAGAGCUCGUAGGCGGCUUGUCACGUCGGGUGUGAAAGCCCGGGGCUUAACCCCGGGUCUGCAUUCGAUACGGGCUAGCUAGAGUGUGGUAGGGGAGAUCGGAAUUCCUGGUGUAGCGGUGAAAUGCGCAGAUAUCAGGAGGAACACCGGUGGCGAAGGCGGAUCUCUGGGCCAUUACUGACGCUCAGGUGCGACAGCGUGGGGAGCAAACAGG
RNAcentral lists this ribosomal RNA (253 nucleotides) under uncultured bacterium. RNAcentral describes it as "partial 16S ribosomal RNA". It matches the Rfam family "Bacterial small subunit ribosomal RNA", at positions 524 to 776 of the family's 1533-position model. The record is from RNAcentral.